RNAcentral lists this ribosomal RNA (965 nucleotides) under uncultured marine bacterium. RNAcentral's name for it is "bacterial SSU rRNA". It matches the Rfam family "Bacterial small subunit ribosomal RNA", at positions 53 to 1062 of the family's 1533-position model. The record is from RNAcentral.
ACAUGCAAGUCGAACGAAGUAGCAAUACUUAGUGGCAGACGGGUGAGUAACAUGUAGGUAUCUUCCCAUUGGUGAGGAAUAACACGAGGAAACUUGUGCUAAUACCUCAUAAGUCUUUACGGAGAAAGCUUUAUGCGCCGAUGGAUGAGCCUGCACUUGAUUAGUUUGUUGGUAGGGUAAUGGCCUACCAAGACAAUGAUCAAUAGCUGAUUUGAGAGGAUGAUCAGCCACAUUGGGACUGAGACACGGCCCAAACUCCUACGGGAGGCAGCAGUAGGGAAUCUUGCACAAUGGGGGAAACCCUGAUGCAGCGGUGCCGCGUGAGUGAAGAAGGCCCUUGGGUUGUAAAGCUCUUUCGUCGGGGAAGAAAAUGACUGUACCCGAAUAAGAAGGUCCGGCUAACUUCGUGCCAGCAGCCGCGGUAAUACGAAGGGACCUAGCGUAGUUCGGAAUUACUGGGCUUAAAGAGUUCGUAGGUGGUUAAAAAAGUUGGUGGUGAAAUCCCAGAGCUUAACUCUGGAACUGCCAUCAAAACUUUUUAGCUAGAGUAUGAUAGAGGAAAGCAGAAUUUCUAGUGUAGAGGUGAAAUUCGUAGAUAUUAGAAAGAAUACCAAUUGCGAAGGCAGCUUUCUGGAUCAUUACUGACACUGAGGAACGAAAGCAUGGGUAGCGAAGAGGAUUAGAUACCCUCGUAGUCCAUGCCGUAAACGAUGUGUGUUAGACGUUGGAAAUUUAUUUUCUGUGUCGCAGCGAAAGCAAUAAACACACCGCCUGGGGAGUACGACCGCAAGGUUAAAACUCAAAUGAAUUGACGGGGACCCGCACAAGUAGUGGAGCAUGUGGUUUAAUUCGAAGAUACGCGCAGAACCUUACCAACACUUGACAUGUUCGUCGCGACUUUAAGAGAUUAAAGUUUUCGGUUCGGCCGGACGAAACACAGGUGCUGCAUGGCUGUCGUCAGCUCG